RNAcentral lists this ribosomal RNA (497 nucleotides) under uncultured bacterium. RNAcentral's name for it is "partial 16S ribosomal RNA". It matches the Rfam family "Bacterial small subunit ribosomal RNA", at positions 28 to 507 of the family's 1533-position model. The record is from RNAcentral.
GAUGAACGCUGGCGGCGUGCCUAAUACAUGCAAGUCGAGCGAACAGACGAGGAGCUUGCUCCUCUGACGUUAGCGGCGGACGGGUGAGUAACACGUGGAUAACCUACCUAUAAGACUGGGAUAACUUCGGGAAACCGGAGCUAAUACCGGAUAAUAUAUUGAACCGCAUGGUUCAAUAGUGAAAGACGGUUUUGCUGUCACUUAUAGAUGGAUCCGCGCCGCAUUAGCUAGUUGGUAAGGUAACGGCUUACCAAGGCAACGAUGCGUAGCCGACCUGAGAGGGUGAUAGGCAACACUGGAACUGAGACACGGUCCAGACUCCUACGGGAGGCAGCAGUAGGGAAUCUUCCGCAAUGGGCGAAAGCCUGACGGAGCAACGCCGCGUGAGUGAUGAAGGUCUUCGGAUCGUAAAACUCUGUUAUUAGGGAAGAACAAAUGUGUAAGUAACUAUGCACGUCUUGACGGUACCUAAUCAGAAAGCCACGGCUAACUACGUG